GCCCUUAGAGUUUGAUCCUGGCUCAGGACGAACGCUGGCGGCGUGCCUAACACAUGCAAGUCGAACGAAGCGUUCUGGUUCGGUUUAUCUGAACCGGGAUGACUUAGUGGCGGACGGGUGAGUAACACGUGGGUAACCUACCUGGGAGACCGGGAUAACAGCUCGAAAGGGCUGCUAAUACCGGAUAAGGUAUAGGGGAUUAGGUUCCACUAUACCAAAGGCGUUAAGUAGUGCUCCUGGAUGGGCCCGCGGCUCAUUAGCUAGUUGGUAAGGUAAGGGCUUACCAAGGCGAUGAUGGGUAGCCGGUCUGAGAGGAUGGUCGGCCACACUGGGACUGAGAACGGCCCAGACUCCUACGGGAGGCAGCAGUGGGGAAUAUUGCGCAAUGGGGGCAACCCUGACGCAGCGACGCCGUGUGAGUGAAGAAGGCCCUCGGGUUGUAAAGCUCUGUCAGGGGGGAAGAAGGAGACGGUACCCCCUGA
RNAcentral lists this ribosomal RNA (482 nucleotides) under uncultured low G+C Gram-positive bacterium. Its description in RNAcentral is "bacterial SSU rRNA". It matches the Rfam family "Bacterial small subunit ribosomal RNA", at positions 1 to 485 of the family's 1533-position model. The record is from RNAcentral. Lineage: Bacteria; Bacillati; Bacillota.